UCUGCUGGGGACCUCAGGCUGGCGGGCUUGGGAGGCAGGCCCGCAGCCGGCUGCCACUCGGCGCUCUGGGGCUCAUGAGAGCCACCCCGAGCCUGCGCACCGCUGGGGCGGGAUCCGAGCUCAGCAACCGCCCGGGAACCCCAUUUUCUCCCGCGCUUCUAGCAGCUGAGAUAAGGCCCAGAAUGUCACAGUCUUGGCACAGGAGCUCCAGCCCUCAGGUUUUGAAUACUAUCCCUCGAGUACUGAUUCUGAGAGCAUAUCCCUGCACGCGCAGACCUCUGAAUUUCUGAUGCACGUAUCUAAUGGACAACUUGAUAUCUACACAAGGUAGAGAAAUAAAAAACUCAAAAGAAAAACCCCUUCAUCCAGCUAUUUAAGACUGACCCGAGAGGACAUGACCGUGGAUAGUUGCUAAUCAGUGCGCCACAUUGGUCCUAACAAGCUGACAGCAUGCAGUUUAAAGAGAGCUAUUGUCUACCAUGCACAUCUUCACGUGAGUGCUAAAAUGAUAAAAUCUGCAAGUAACCAAGUAUCAUUCCUUACCUUGACUGCAUUUUCAGAACCCUCGUCUUUAAAGUCUUCAUACUUCAUUACUUCAGCCAUAAUGAAUCCCUUUUCGAAAUCUGUGUGAAUCUUUCCUGCAGCUUGAGGAGCCUUCGUUCCUUUCUUUGAAAAGGACCAGAGAAAACUAAUUGCAUUUAAAAAUGA
This is a long non-coding RNA of Apodemus sylvaticus (European woodmouse), 708 nucleotides long. RefSeq lists it as uncharacterized. The record is from RefSeq and is a predicted model, not a curated record. The transcript has 3 exons. Lineage: Eukaryota; Metazoa; Chordata; Mammalia; Rodentia; Muridae.